UGCAUUAUUUGCCAUGUGCGUCAUCCCGGAGUUGGUGAUUACCAAAGACGAACACACGGCGCUUGGCCCAAAAAUCAACGAUAUCGAUAAUGGGCCCUGUUACGACAUCGAGAAAAGUCACACUUGGAAAUCACUCGGAAGAACACGCUCGGCGCAGGUACGACUCAAACACUUUCUAAGUCGGUACUAACCGUAUCGAGAAUGUUACUCGAAGAAGGUGAUAUGGAGGAGAGGGGCUACACCUGUUGGAGCUGCGAAGUCUACUGCGAUUUAACAGUCAUGACGAAGGAAAUUAAAUGAGGGGGCACGAGCAGGACCUGCAUGACAGAUGGGUGUAGUCAAAUAGGUGCUUAAAUUAGUUCCAGUACACUGUAUGAGCUGCUUUACAGAGUUACGUAAUUCUUCUCAAAAAUUAUUUUAGUAAUUAUUUGCAUAACAAGUGUUUACGAAUGAGUACUCGUGUUAAUGAGUUUCCUUCGGGCGUUUUUUUUUGCUGAAAAUCUGUGACAUUCCUGACUUGGUGGAAGCGCCAAAAUGGGUUGUGGCGAGCGGAAGCGUGUCCAAAGGAACGGAAGUACGACCGUAAAGACGGAAGUAACUAUACUGUGAUUAAUGUAGUGAAUAGUAUAGACACUAUAUUUGUAAUAUUCUAUGGUUAUACAAAGACAAUUUGGAAACUUACUUAAUUAUAUAAGACUACUAUUACCACAAAACUGUCACAACCUGGAGUUACUUUUAAGUCAUAACAAACUUUGAGGUGCAAAGUUUUUGAUUAAAUAUCUGUUUAAAAAUUUAUUGUGUUUGGGACCUUCUUUCUCUAUGUAAAUCAGUAUUUGUUUGUACAAAUAGAAACACUGUGAAAGUAUAAAUAUUUUUUGAGCAUAA
Zophobas morio is the source of this 885-nucleotide long non-coding RNA. RefSeq lists it as uncharacterized. Lineage: Eukaryota; Metazoa; Arthropoda; Insecta; Coleoptera; Tenebrionidae. The transcript has 2 exons. The record is from RefSeq and is a predicted model, not a curated record.